Pecten maximus is the source of this 1636-nucleotide long non-coding RNA. RefSeq lists it as uncharacterized. Lineage: Eukaryota; Metazoa; Mollusca; Bivalvia; Pectinida; Pectinidae. The transcript is spliced from 2 exons. The record is from RefSeq and is a predicted model, not a curated record.
UAUCACUUGAUGAUUUAGGAUUCCAGCCAAUAUGCCAGGCCAGCGUCAGUAUGGAUAUUUCCGAUGUCCGUCCUGUAAUGGACACUGGGAGAGUGCCCAGGUCUACAGAAAAGGAAGCGGAGGCGAUGAUUACUACGAGCAGGAAUGCAAGAAAUGUAAAAUCGCCUGUAGACCCUACAGAGUAGAGUCGCUGCAGUGCCCUAGAUGUGGGAACCCUGCGCAGUCAUGCCAUUGUCCCAGAUCGGAUGAGCGUCACGUGGACCCGGAAAAGGCUCAUCGUAGUGACCUCUGCCACAAGUGUAGGUCGGGUUAUCCUUGUGGACACUAGGCACGUAUUGACCUCUGCCACAAGUGAGCCUAGGGUCAUCCGUGUGGACAUGUUUUUGGAAUGAAAUGUAAUUCCUUUAAGACUAUUCGUCAGCUAUGUAUAUACAAGUAGUGAAAGUUAUAACACGACAAAUAAUUCAACACAUUAAUAUUUAGAUAAAUGAGUAUUCAAAUAUGAUUUGCCUUCUUUGACACGCUUCUUAAUAUUUCAUAAUAGUACACUGUCUUCCUUAAAUGUUAGGUCCACGCUGAUAUUUUUGUUUGUCUUCAGGAUUUCAUAGUUUUGACAUCAAUGGUUGCUACACUCUUAAACUUUUCUAGUGGGGAAAGUUUUAAUCAUUUUAAUAUUUCUUUAACUGGAAAAACGCUAUUGUUUUUAUAGAAACCAAGACAGAAACACACUGAAAAUGACGCUAUUUGUUCUUCUGUGAAUUCGACGCCAUUUUGUUUAUAAGUGAUAUUAUAAGCAUCUCUUCGCGAGAUAGAUAUCCAGAUGCAGCCAAACCCGUUCCACACGACCUUCCAAGCAGAUAGUGAGCAGGUGUCCCAGAAAGAUCAGCAAAGUAUUAUUUCGCACUAGCUCGUCCUCACCUAGUCCUAUACAGAUUAUUUUGUUAUACUGAUACAAUGAAAAUAUGAUGCCAUCCUGAGAGUUCCUAAAGCCAUAUUUAAAGUACGAUUCAAAUAUGUAACGUGCACCUUUGUACUAUAGAUUUUUUUUCUUUUGGGGGUGGGGCUGUCAAUUAUUCAUAUCGAUAUCCAAAAAAUCAAUUCUCCUGUGCUGGUUUUCCACACUUUUGUGUCCUAACAUCACCGAGGAGAGUGGUAUUCCUUAUAAAUAUAGUAUUAUGUUGUUCAGUUCCCUACCUAAUCUGUAAUUGUUUUGUGUAUAUAUAUAGUAAUUACAUAUCCCGUAAAUAUCUAUAUCACAUUUACAAAAAGCAUUCGAAGGUAUUUAAAUGAUUGCUGUUUUACGAAAACACAACAAGGAAGUACUUAUUUGACAGUACAUGUACGGAAUAAGAAAAUGAAAAUCUACCUUACCCGGAAGUAUAUCAGUGAUCAAGGACAGGCUUUGUUGAUACUGAACUAUUGAUAAGAGGAAUGAGUAAACGACGAUUCGGACGACGUAACACCUCCUCUGGAGCGGAACUACGGAUAUUUUGGAUGUUCGUUAUGUAAAAGACACUGGGAAAGUGCCCAUGUAUACUGUGUCAAAGACACAAAAAAGAUAUGUCGAACUACAUAUUGCUUACCAAUGUGUUUGUUAAAUCACCAAUUAUUAAUAAAUGUCAAUACUUGUAAUGCA